CGCAGCUAACGCAUUAAGUUCCCCGCCUGGGGAGUACGGCCGCAAGGCUAAAACUCAAAGGAAUUGACGGGGGCCCGCACAAGCGGCGGAGCAUGCGGAUUAAUUCGAUGCAACGCGAAGAACCUUACCAAGUCUUGACAUACACCGGAAACGGCCAGAAAUGGUCGCCCCGCAAGGUCGGUGUACAGGUGGUGCAUGGUUGUCGUCAGCUCGUGUCGUGAGAUGUUGGGUUAAGUCCCGCAACGAGCGCAACCCUCGUUCUAUGUUGCCAGCGGGUUAUGCCGGGAACUCAUAGGAGACUGCCGGGGUCAACUCGGAGGAAGGUGGGGAUGACGUCAAAUCAUCAUGCCCCUUAUGUCUUGGGCUUCACGCAUGCUACAAUGGCCGGUACAAAGGGCUGCAAUACCGCGAGGUGGAGCGAAUCCCAAAAAGCCGGUCUCAGUUCGGAUUGAGGUCUGCAACUCGACCUCAUGAAGUCGGAGUCGCUAGUAAUCGCAGAUCAGCAACGCUGCGGUGAAUACUUUCUCGGGCCUUGUACACACCGCCCGUCAAGUCAUGAAAGUCGGUAACACCCGA
Molecule: ribosomal RNA, 576 nt
Filed under: Georgenia sp. m6-44
Lineage: Bacteria; Bacillati; Actinomycetota; Actinomycetes; Allobogoriellales; Allobogoriellaceae
Description: bacterial SSU rRNA
Rfam family: Bacterial small subunit ribosomal RNA
Source: RNAcentral